GGCUUUUGACCUUUAUGC
Molecule: unclassified non-coding RNA, 18 nt
Filed under: synthetic construct
Source: RNAcentral